Rosa chinensis is the source of this 986-nucleotide long non-coding RNA. RefSeq lists it as uncharacterized. The transcript is spliced from 7 exons. The record is from RefSeq and is a predicted model, not a curated record. Lineage: Eukaryota; Viridiplantae; Streptophyta; Magnoliopsida; Rosales; Rosaceae.
UCUCAUUCUAUUGCUGCGAUCAAAAUAAUCUUGAGAGAGAGAGAGAGAGAAAUAGCGUGUGUUUGUUUGCUUUGUGCGAAGAGAUGGAAAGAUCGAUUGUUGCUGCAAUCACGAACAAUUUGAGGAUCUUACAGCCCAGGGUUGCGAUCGUCUAGCCCGUGUAGAGAUAGGAAGGGAUUGGUACAAUAGGAAGGGAUCAUCGCCAUUGUUGAAGAUCCACCUUCCAGGAGCAUUGACUUUUGAGGCUUCAAGAAGAACUACAAGUACCUUUUGACGAGACUCACCCUUGAAGGUAUCUUUCGGAGAUUAUUGUUCAAGCAAGGUGGGAGUCGAGCAACUUGGGAAUACCCAUUUGCUGUUGCUGGCAUAAACAUAUCAUUUAUGUUGAUUCAAUUGCUGGAUCUUUGGUCAGGUUAAAAUUUUAUUGACAUCAUGUUACCCUGCAGCAAGACCAAGGUGUCUUCCUGGGAUAAAUUUCUUGCACUUAUUAGGAGAAGAUGAAGCUGCUUCUGAUGUACUGUUCCAUAUAGCUUUUGACAUGGUCUAUGCUCAGUGGCUUGCUAUGAAUGCAUCAUGCAUGCAGUUUAAUGAGCUCUCCAGAUGACCAACUCAUAGGGCUUUCAAUUCCUUCAAGAUGUUCUGCAAGCAAUGCGGACGUAGUUGGUAAGAGAACCAUCUUUAGAAGAUAUCAAGAGUAUCUAAGAUUUACCAGCUUAUAGUCUGUUGUACCAGUAGCUUUUUGGUAGUACAGAAAAACAUUAGCACUGUGCUUGGACUCGGAGAAAUUUCAAUGAAUUCAAAGGGUUACCAUGACAACAACGCUUUGCAUAAAACAAUGGGACAUCUUUUUCAUGGCCUCAUUUCCGCUUUGAUAUCCGCUAUGAUUUUAUCUGAGUUGUUCCCAUUGGAUUCAAUUUGGUAUUUUAACAUUUGCCAUUGGAUCUUAAUAGCAUGCAAAGUUUUCAGAGACACAGUUGACUAAACUC